GAUGAACGCUGGCGGCGUGCCUAAUACAUGCAAGUCGAGCGAACAGACGAGGAGCUUGCUCCUCUGACGUUAGCGGCGGACGGGUGAGUAACACGUGGAUAACCUACCUAUAAGACUGGGAUAACUUCGGGAAACCGGAGCUAAUACCGGAUAAUAUAUUGAACCGCAUGGUUCAAUAGUGAAAGACGGUUUUGCUGUCACUUAUGGAUGGAUCCGCGCCGCAUUAGUUAGUUGGUAAGGUAACGGCUUACCAAGGCAACGAUGCGUAGCCGACCUGAGAGGGUGAUCGGCCACACUGGAACUGAGACACGGUCCAGACUCCUACGGGAGGCAGCAGUAGGGAAUCUUCCGCAAUGGGCGAAAGCCUGACGGAGCAACGCCGCGUGAGUGAUGAAGGUCUUCGGAUCGUAAAACUCUGUUAUUAGGGAAGAACAAAUGUGUAAGUAACUAUGCACGUCUUGACGGUACCUAAUCAGAAAGCCACGGCUAACUACGUG
RNAcentral lists this ribosomal RNA (497 nucleotides) under uncultured bacterium. Its description in RNAcentral is "partial 16S ribosomal RNA". It matches the Rfam family "Bacterial small subunit ribosomal RNA", at positions 28 to 507 of the family's 1533-position model. The record is from RNAcentral.